RNAcentral lists this ribosomal RNA (404 nucleotides) under uncultured bacterium. Its description in RNAcentral is "bacterial SSU rRNA". It matches the Rfam family "Bacterial small subunit ribosomal RNA", at positions 355 to 776 of the family's 1533-position model. The record is from RNAcentral.
UAGGGAAUAUUGGACAAUGGGCGCAAGCCUGAUCCAGCAAUGCCGCGUGAGUGAUGAAGGCCUUAGGGUUGUAAAGCUCUUUUACCCGGGAUGAUAAUGACAGUACCGGGAGAAUAAGCCCCGGCUAACUCCGUGCCAGCAGCCGCGGUAAUACGGAGGGGGCUAGCGUUGUUCGGAAUUACUGGGCGUAAAGCGCACGUAGGCGGCGAUUUAAGUCAGAGGUGAAAGCCCGGGGCUCAACCCCGGAACUGCCUUUGAGACUGGAUUGCUUGAACAUCGGAGAGGUGAGUGGAAUUCCGAGUGUAGAGGUGAAAUUCGUAGAUAUUCGGAAGAACACCAGUGGCGAAGGCGGCUCACUGGACGAUUGUUGACGCUGAGGUGCGAAAGCGUGGGGAGCAAACAGG